GAUGAACGCUGGCGGCGUGCCUAAUACAUGCAAGUCGAGCGAACAGACGAGGAGCUUGCUCCUCUGACGUUAGCGGCGGACGGGUGAGUAACACGUGGAUAACCUACCUAUAAGACUGGGAUAACUUCGGGAAACCGGAGCUAAUACCGGAUAAUAUAUUGAACCGCAUGGUUCAAUAGUGAAAGACGGUUUUGCUGUCACUUAUAGAUGGAUCCGCGCCGCAUUAGCUAGUUGGUAAGGUAACGGCUUACCAAGGCAACGAUGCGUAGCCGACCUGAGAGGGGGAUCGGCCACACUGGAACUUAGACACGGUCCAGACUCCUACGGGAGGCAGCAGUAGGGAAUCUUCCGCAAUGGGCGAAAGCCUGACGGAGCAACGCCGCGUGAGUGAUGAAGGUCUUCGGAUCGUAAAACUCUGUUAUUAGGGAAGAACAAAUGUGUAAGUAACUAUGCACGUCUUGACGGUACCUAAUCAGAAAGCCACGGCUAACUACGUG
This 497-nucleotide ribosomal RNA is filed under the name uncultured bacterium. RNAcentral describes it as "partial 16S ribosomal RNA". It matches the Rfam family "Bacterial small subunit ribosomal RNA", at positions 28 to 507 of the family's 1533-position model. The record is from RNAcentral.